GUUCAACAUAGAAUCAGCACUGGUUUUCACAUGAAAGAAUUUUUUGUUUUUCACCUUGAGAAGUAAAAUGACGGAGACUAAGUCCGGCAUCCAAACUUCACUGUCCAGUGAGAAUUUUCACACUGAAUGGAAGUGAUUUUGGAAGAGCAUGGAAUACUCACAACUGUAGUGAAGAAGUGCUGAUUUUGUCACUUUUACCUGUUCCCUUUCCUGAGAUGGAACAAAACAGUGCAAUCCAAAGGUCAACAAGAACAAAUCUCAGGUUUCAUAUGAAAAUGUUUAUUCCUUCUCCUUGAGAUAAGACAUGAAGGAAAGGCCCAUCCUCAAGGACCAGUGGGAAUUCUUAGAUUGGUGGAAGCAGUGGGAUUUGAAGCAAACUUCUGACAACAUCCAGGGUCAACAAGAAACACAGGUGUGGCACCCAUGAAACCUUUCGAGUUCACUCUUUUUUGUCAUUUCCAGGGGCCAUUGAGGGAAGGGACAUUUUACUGCUUGGAAUUCUCACUGCCAUUCUGAAGAAGUGCUGUUUUUGUCACUUGCACCAGCUCCUUUCUCUGAAAAAGAUCAAAACAAUGCACUCCAGAGGCUGACAUGGACCAAAAAGUGGGUUUCAUAUGAAAGAGUUUAUUCCUUCCCUUUGAGAUGUGAAGGAAAGUAUUGGGAAUAAUUCUACCUUCCAUCCUCAAGGGCCUGUGUAAAUUCUCACAAAGGUACAGAUAGAGCCUAGAAGGAAAGGGAAACUAUGCCUUUCCCUUUACUCUUGAAUGUCAGCUCCAGAGAAUGAGCUGAAAACUUCCUUCUUAGUCAGUGAUUCUCCAUUCCUACUGGUGAUCUUUUGGACACUCUUGCAGAAGAUGACUACUUGGGAAUUCUUUGGGGAGUGAAUGAUACCAGUAAAUCCCUGAAACAAGACUUUUCAGACAAAGAGCCUUUUCACUUACCUGUUGUUCAAGGGCCACCCUCUAAAGUCUUCUUGCAGGUGAUGACCUCAAAGGCGAGGUGGAUUUGUUACUGUGGAAGCCAUUACUUCUAUCACCAGCUUCACCAAGAACAAUGACACAGUCCUCCUUAUGCAUGGAGACUCCUCUCUUUCCUGUGUUGCAGUGGACACCUCCUGCAGAUAAGAAAUGCUUAACUGAGAAAUGCUCAUAUUGGGAUAUCAUCGAUGAGACUUUAAUUUGGGCAUGGUGACUGUUUCCCUUGCUGCCACUUGACUCAAUCCCAGGAGCCUCAGUAGAGGAAAUAUUAUUGCACAAGAAACUCAAAAUGGUGGAAUUGCUCAGUGCUCCCAUAAAUAGACAUUUAUAAUUUUCAUUUGCCAUGUGGUGAAUUUUAAAAAUAGGAUAUAUUAAAAAGAAGCUGCAUGAAUUUUUUCAAAAAUUCAAAGCAUUUCUAAAUAUCUAAUACAGAAAUUAAGUGCCCUCCUCUCUCCCAAUUCUAACCCCCAGAGUUUUUCUUUAUUAAGGGAGUUGUGUGCAUUCUUUAAGUGGAUAAAUGCACACAUGCAAGCUAUUUCUGGAGGGUUCUGGAAGUGGGGCCAUACUGUACACAUUCUUCUGCAAAUUGCCUUUCAUUUAAUAGUUUUUUAAAUGCCCUUUUUCUAUUUCAGUAAUAUACAUUUGUGUCAUUUGUUGAAUGACUGCAUGACUGUUUUGUAGAUGAAAUAUAAUUAAAUGUUUUGAUUAUUUCUCAGCCAUAGAUAUUUAUGUUAGCACCAAAUUUCUGCACAGUGAACCUCCCUAUUUAUUAAUAGUUUUGCAUUUGUCUAUUAUAUCAUGAUAAAUUACUUAGCAGUUGAAAUACUGGGAUUAAGAAUGUGCACAUUUCAAAUUUUGAAAAUUAUUGCAAGAUUUCCUUAAAAAUGUGGUGACAACUUAUCCUAAAAUGGCAAUGAAUAAGAUUGCCAGCUUUCCCACAACCUCACAGAUAAUGGAUUUUAUAAAUAUUUAAAAUCUUUGCCAGUGUGAUAGCCCAAACUAUUGUCUUAAAUUGUAUUUCUUUUGUUUUUGAGUUUGAUCAUUUUUUCAUAUGUUAUUAGCCAUCUGUAUUUUUUAAUUUCCUCUUUAUGUCUGAUUUUGGGAGUCGGGGGAGGUUUUAGUCUCUUCCUGAUUUUGAAGAGCUCAUUGAUUAUUGGGGGAAUAAGCUUUGGAUUGUCAAGCAUUACAGAUAUUUUUUACACACUUUUAAACUUCAUUUUUGAUAUAAGAAUGUAUAUAAUUAUUAUGUGUCUAAGUAUAACCGUGUUCGCUUCUAUGGCUUCUGAAUUUCAUGUCAUUUUGGAAAGGUAUUUAAACUGAUUCCAUAAAACCCUUCAUAUAUGUUAACUUCUAAUUCUUUUGUGUUUUUUUAAUUCAAAUUCUGAAAUCAUAAGAAAUUUUUUUAUUUGAAAUCUUAAAGUUGCCAAGUUAUUUGCCAUUACUUGCGAUUAUUUGCCAAUAAUCGCCCAUUUAUCUGUAAUGCCAUCUUGCACAUAUGCUGUAUUCUCAUCUGUGACUGGCUCCAUUUUUGUUCUGUGGAUCUUUGCGUCUCUUCUUCUGCCUCUUGUCUCAUGUGUCUUCUUGUUGGAAGAAAUUACAGUUUAGACUGCAAUUUCAUCAACUUUAAUAAAUUAAUUUAGGGGAGAAUUGGUUUUUAAUAAUAUAAGUCUUCCUGUUCAAGGACAAGGUAUGUCUUUUUUUUUAUUCAAUAAUUUUAAUUACUGUUAAUAUUUUCACUUUGUGAUGGGGGUGUUUUCUUUCUGUUUAUUUUCUUGAUAAUUUUUCUGUAUCUGAAAGUUUUGUUUUUUUUUUUUUGGUAAGUGGUCAGCUUACACUUUCUCAUGGCUUCAGAUUUUUUCAAAGUACAUACUAAAUCCUUUGCAAAUACUAGUAGUUUUUAUUCUCUCCUUCAAAAUGAUCUAGAUUUCAGUUAUGUUGAUAAAGUUCACUGACUGGUACUUUCAGAGCACUUAAACAAUUGUGGAAAUGUCCAACCUUGAUUUAAUCAGAUUUUAAUGGAAUGCUUCUUGGUUUUGACUAGCACAUUAUUGUUGGCCUUUUACCCAAAAAGACUUGCAGAAAGAGCUAUGAUCAAGCAAAGCUGAGUUUAUUAAACCUACUGCAGUAAGGAAAAACACCACUUUGACAAGAUUUAGUAGUGUUUCAAAAGCAGAAAGUUAGGACUUUGGGGUUUGGGCUAAUGUGGUUUAAGGCAGGCUUUUCAAGGCACAGAACUGGUUAGGAAUGGGCAGAAUCUGUCAUGUAAUAGUUUAGGUUUGUGAAAGAGUAAGGACCUUGAUAUGAGUCUAGAUAACCAAAUUUGUGUCUGAUAAAUGAGCUGUUUGCCCAUGUGAGUUAGAUGUUAUCAAUGAGCUAUUUGCUUUGAUGAGCAAGCUGAAUCUACUUAUUGGUUUAUAGUUCAUUCUUGUUUAUAGGACACUGCUGGGGGUUGCAUGAGGUCUUAGUGCCAAUAGGUAAGUUAUUUUGAUGUGGGUAGUCUCAAUUGUCAAUUUAAUAUGCUAAUUUUAAACUUAAGAUAUGUUUUGUAUCAUGUUAGGAAAGUCUUCCACCUUUUAUAUAUUUCUGAAUAAUUUUAAAAUGAGGUGGUAGAUGUAAUCAAAUACUUUUUGCAUAAACAAUUAUAUUAUUCUUUAAUUAAACAUAUCAUUGUGAAAUAAUUCAUUUUCUGUUAAUGAAAUUUCCUUGUAUUGCUUGAAUGAACAAACCCUAUUUGGUAAAUAGAUGUUUUACUCUUUAAAUUUACUACUGAAUUAUAAGUAUCUUAACUUGAUUUGGAAUUUUUGCAAAUAUACUAUUGAAUGAAAUUGAUUUGCAAUUCUUUUUUGUUCUAUUUUUGUCAUGUUUUGAUAUCAGGUUUUCUGGUUGUGUUAAAAUAAUUUUGAGGAUUUUCUUCUUACUCUGUGUUCCAGAAUGGGUUGAAAAGCUCUAGCAUCAAUAUUAACAGUUAAGCAAACACAUCAAUGAAAUUAUCUGAACUCUUUUGUUUUUGAUGGCUUGGAGUAGAACUGAGGCUAACUAGAAAAUUCUCUCACUUUUUU
Molecule: long non-coding RNA, 4036 nt
Organism: Equus quagga
Lineage: Eukaryota; Metazoa; Chordata; Mammalia; Perissodactyla; Equidae
Exons: 9
Source: RefSeq, a predicted model, not a curated record